AACCCGGACCGGAGUGUUCCCUUCGAACUACGUCAAACCCAUGGAACCAGAGAUCACUAGGCCUGGAGCUGCUUCCAAGAAACCUGAGAUCGCCCAGGCGAUCACCCUGACUACAGAGCAGCUCAGUCUGUCACCGGGGCAACUGAUCGUGGUCCAUGCCAAGAACUCCUC
This is a long non-coding RNA of Oncorhynchus masou masou (cherry salmon), 171 nucleotides long. RefSeq lists it as uncharacterized. NCBI's taxonomy places the organism in Eukaryota, Metazoa, Chordata, Actinopteri, Salmoniformes, Salmonidae. The record is from RefSeq and is a predicted model, not a curated record. The transcript is spliced from 3 exons.